UGUAUCAGUACAAACCUUCAUAAGGUGAAACCGCGAACGGCUCAUUAUAACAGCUAUAAUUUACUAGACCUUGAGCAACUACUUGGAUACCUGUGGUAAUUCUAGAGCUAAUACAUGCACCGAAGUUGUUCCUUGCGGAGCAAUGCAUUUAUUUGAGCAAAACCAGGCGGCUUCGGCCGUUUCUGUUGAUUCAGAAUAACUAAGCUGAUCGCAUGGGCUUGUCCCGGCGACGUGUCUUUCAAGUGUCUGCCUUAUCAACUUUCGAUGGUAGUGUACGUGACUACCAUGGUGUUGACGGGUAACGGAGGAUAAGGGUUCGACUCCGGAGAAGGGGCCUGAGAAAUGGCCACUACGUCUAAGGAUGGCAGCAGGCGCGCAAAUUACCCACUCUCGGUUCGAGGAGGUAGUGACGAAAAAUAACAAGGCCGUUCUCUUUGAGGCCGGCCAUUGGAAUGGGUACAACUUAAACCCUUUAACGAGUAUCAAUGAGAGGGCAAGUCUGGUGCCAGCAGCCGCGGUAAUUCCAGCUCUCAAAAUGCAUAGAACCAUUGCUGCGGUUAAAAAGCUCGUAGUUGGAUCUGUGCCGGCGACGUGGUCCGCCCUAACCGGCGGUACUGCGCUCGUCGGCUUUGGGCCGGUCUUCGGUCGGUCGCCUUCACUGGCGGCCGCUCGUGGCUGGCUGGUUUACUUUGAGCAAAUCAGAGUGCUCAGCACAGGCGUCUCGCCGGAAUGUUCGUGCAUGGAAUAAUAGAAAAGGAUUUCGGUUCUCUUUUAUUGGUUUUGUGAACUGAGAUAAUGGUUAACAGAGACGGACGGGGGCAUUCGUAUUGCUGCGUGAG
RNAcentral lists this ribosomal RNA (839 nucleotides) under Paratylenchus projectus. RNAcentral describes it as "SSU rRNA". It matches the Rfam family "Eukaryotic small subunit ribosomal RNA", at positions 56 to 908 of the family's 1831-position model. The record is from RNAcentral. Lineage: Eukaryota; Metazoa; Nematoda; Chromadorea; Rhabditida; Tylenchulidae.